This 395-nucleotide ribosomal RNA is filed under the name uncultured bacterium. Its description in RNAcentral is "partial 16S ribosomal RNA". It matches the Rfam family "Bacterial small subunit ribosomal RNA", at positions 338 to 730 of the family's 1533-position model. The record is from RNAcentral.
CCUACGGGAGGCAGCAGUGAGGAAUAUUGGUCAAUGGACGGAAGUCUGAACCAGCCAAGCCGCGUGCAGGAAGACGGUACUAUGAGUUGUAAACUGCUUUUGUACGAGGGUAAACAUGAAUACGUGUAUUCAGCUGAGAGUACUGUACGAAUAAGCAUCGGCUAACUCCGUGCCAGCAGCCGCGGUAAUACGGAGGAUCCAAGCGUUAUCCGGAUUUAUUGGGUUUAAAGGGUGCGUAGGCGGAGUGUUAAGUUAGAGGUGAAAUGCCCGGGCUUAACCCGGGAACUGCCUUUAAAACUGGUAGUCUAGAGAGUAGGAGAGGUAGGCGGAAUGUGCGGUGUAGCGGUGAAAUGCAUAGAGAUCAUACAGAACACCGAUUGCGAAGGCAGCUUACC